CGUUUUGGUCACCCUCGUGGGUGUGAAAAGGGAAGCCGGUGCGAGUCCGGCGCAGUCCCGCUGCUGUAAGCUCGAGAGUUUGAGGUCCAAUCUGUUACGUCACUGUGCGCCGCCAUAGGCGCAUGGGAAGACAGGGCCUCGGGGAGCAAGCCAGAAGACCUGCCAAAGCAA
Molecule: non-coding RNA, 171 nt
Filed under: bovine gut metagenome
Source: RNAcentral